AUUGAACGCUGGCGGCAUGCCUUACACAUGCAAGUCGAACGGUAACGCGGGGCAACCUGGCGACGAGUGGCGAACGGGUGAGUAAAGCAUCGGAACGUGCCCAGUAGUGGGGGAUAGCCCGGCGAAAGCCGGAUUAAUACCGCAUACGACCUACGGGUGAAAGCGGGGGACCGUAAGGCCUCGCGCUAUUGGAGCGGCCGAUGUCAGAUUAGGUAGUUGGUGGGGUAAAGGCCUACCAAGCCGACGAUCUGUAGCUGGUCUGAGAGGACGACCAGCCACACUGGGACUGAGACACGGCCCAGACUCCUACGGGAGGCAGCAGUGGGGAAUUUUGGACAAUGGGGGCAACCCUGAUCCAGCCAUGCCGCGUGCGGGAAGAAGGCCUUCGGGUUGUAAACCGCUUUUGUCAGGGAAGAAACGCGCUGAGCUAAUACCUCGGCGUAAUGACGGUACCUGAAGAAUAAGCACCGGCUAACUACGUGCCAGCCGCCGCGGUAA
Molecule: ribosomal RNA, 498 nt
Filed under: uncultured bacterium
Lineage: Bacteria
Description: partial 16S ribosomal RNA
Rfam family: Bacterial small subunit ribosomal RNA
Source: RNAcentral